RNAcentral lists this ribosomal RNA (296 nucleotides) under uncultured bacterium. RNAcentral's name for it is "partial 16S ribosomal RNA". It matches the Rfam family "Bacterial small subunit ribosomal RNA", at positions 334 to 647 of the family's 1533-position model. The record is from RNAcentral.
UGUACCUACGGGGCGCAGCAGUGGGGGAUAUUGCACAAUGGGGGGAACCCUGAUGCAGCGACGCCGCGUGGGUGAAGGAGUAUUUCGGUAUGUAAAGCCCUAUCGGCAGGGAAGAAGCAAGACGGUACCUGACUAAGAAGCCCCGGCUAACUACGUGCCAGCAGCCGCGGUAAUACGUAGGGGGCGAGCGUUAUCCGGAUUUAUUGGGUUUAAAGGGUGCGUAGGCGGAAUAUCAAGUCAGCGGUAAAAAUUCGGGGCUCAACCCCGUCGUGCCGUUGAAACUGAUGUUCUUGAGU